Molecule: ribosomal RNA, 234 nt
Filed under: uncultured Staphylococcus sp.
Lineage: Bacteria; Bacillati; Bacillota; Bacilli; Caryophanales; Staphylococcaceae
Description: partial 16S ribosomal RNA
Rfam family: Bacterial small subunit ribosomal RNA
Source: RNAcentral
GUGAGUAACACGUGGAUAACCUACCUAUAAGACUGGGAUAACUUCGGGAAACCGGAGCUAAUACCGGAUAAUAUUUUGAACCGCAUGGUUCAAAAGUGAAAGACGGUCUUGCUGUCACUUAUAGAUGGAUUCGCGCUGCAUUAGCUAGUUGGUAAGGUAACGGCUUACCAAGGCAACGAUGCAUAGCCGACCUGAGAGGGUGAUCGGCCACACUGGAACUGAGACACGGCCCAG